RNAcentral lists this ribosomal RNA (194 nucleotides) under uncultured bacterium. RNAcentral describes it as "partial 16S ribosomal RNA". It matches the Rfam family "Bacterial small subunit ribosomal RNA", at positions 338 to 524 of the family's 1533-position model. The record is from RNAcentral.
CCUACGGGAGGCAGCAGUAGGGAAUCUUCCACAAUGGACGAAAGUCUGAUGGAGCAACGCCGCGUGAGCGAAGAAGGUUUUCGGAUCGUAAAGCUCUGUUGUGAGGGAAGAACAAGUACAGGAGUAACUGUCUGUACCUUGACGGUACCUCAUUAGAAAGCCACGGCUAACUACGUGCCAGCAGCCGCGGUAAU